CUGCUGCCUUCCGUAGGAGUUUGGGCCGUGUCUCAGUCCCAAUGUGGCCGUCCACCCUCUCAGGCCGGCUACUGAUCGUCGCCUUGGUGGGCCGUUACCCCGCCAACAAGCUAAUCAGACGCGGGUCCAUCUUACACCACCGGAGUUUUUCACACAAAUCCAUGCGGCUUCGUGCGCUUAUGCGGUAUUAGCACCCUAUUUCUAAGUGUUAUCCCCCAGUGUAAGGCAGGUUACCCACGCGUUACUCACCCGUCCGCCACUAAG
RNAcentral lists this ribosomal RNA (264 nucleotides) under uncultured bacterium. RNAcentral describes it as "partial 16S ribosomal RNA". The record is from RNAcentral.